CCAAAGCAGAGGAAUUUAAAUACUUCAACCCUAAGUAACUCAGAGCACACUUUAAUGAUCAUCUCCUUCCUUCACGAAGGAAGAGGAUGGAAGAAAAGGAGAUGGGAGGCUGAAGGAAAACGAAGUAACACAUUAUGUAGUUUGCAUUAUGGUGUUGGAAUGUUUAACGCUCUUGAUGGCAAUAGUUCCGGCCUGUGUAUAUUUCGGCAAGACCACUGGCAGAAAUAGCCUUUGUGAGACAGUUCUGCAGUAUGAGGGUGAAGAAGGAAAUGGAGAAGUCCGAUGCAGAUCAGACCACCUGCUCUGCCUGUACGGUAAUCACUGCCUCUGACACACAUCAGGGACAACUGGGAGGAUGUGUGCUGGCACUCUGUGAACAGACGGUGGUGAGCUAACAGCAUGUUCUGCUUCUCCCUGCACUACUCUCCUCUACUCUUUGUGGAAGUGGCUCUGCAGCAGGAGACCAGUGAAGUAAUUUUAUAUUCAGAGAGAAGAAUGACUGAUGUAACUCAUUAACUGGACUUUGAUCACCGUUUACCCAACUACACAAAUUGAGGAGCAUCAAGAGAAGUCUCAAAAUUCUCACCUGUCUGCAAGCACCAAAAUUAAUAUUCUUUCUCUGAGAACUGGCAAGUAAAAAUGUUAAACAUGCAGAGAUAUGUUUAAAUUUUUAAAAAUUAAGUAAAUCAAAUUGUCACUCGAGUGCAUGAAAAUGUACUGUUAAUUAUAUUUUCUCUUUUAAACUAUCAAAAUGUUUAUGUGCUUGUGUUGCAUGUUGGAUUUUCCAUUCAGCUAGAUGUUUCAGGUCACCAGCAACUGAUCCUGACUUCCCUCCAAUCAUCACCCCAAGAAAGAAUGAACUUUGACGAAACUAGAUGGGCUCAGCAGUAACCAUACAAGUUCUCUGAUGUCAUCAGCUGGCAACAGUCUAACAGUACACACUGUCUGUCCUGGUCUGAAAGACUGUUAUGAGAGAUGGAGCCUGACAUCAAUGGACUGGAUGAAGUAUAUUGAAAAAUGUGGGAUCUGAGCAUGAUGUGAAUGGUAUGGAAUAAGGAGUGGAUACU
Melopsittacus undulatus (budgerigar) is the source of this 1067-nucleotide long non-coding RNA. RefSeq lists it as uncharacterized. The record is from RefSeq and is a predicted model, not a curated record. The transcript has 3 exons. NCBI's taxonomy places the organism in Eukaryota, Metazoa, Chordata, Aves, Psittaciformes, Psittaculidae.